Long non-coding RNA from Etheostoma spectabile (orangethroat darter), 158 nucleotides. RefSeq lists it as uncharacterized. Lineage: Eukaryota; Metazoa; Chordata; Actinopteri; Perciformes; Percidae. The record is from RefSeq and is a predicted model, not a curated record. The transcript has 4 exons.
CUUUGUAACACACCGAGCGAAGCCGACUUGAGUGUACGUCCUUCGCGCAUGCGAGAGACGUAAUACGUCUCCACUACAGCAGGUGGUGCUAAUCUGUAUUGUUGCCCAAAAAAUGUAAAUUGGCUGCUGAUUGGACGAACGCGUCACGUGGGUCUGGC